GACGAACGCUGGCGGCGUGCUUAACACAUGCAAGUCGUACGGUAAGGCCCUUUCGGGGGUACACGAGUGGCGAACGGGUGAGUAACACGUGCGUAACCUGCCCACAACUUUGGGAUAACGCUAGGAAACUGGUGCUAAUACUGGAUAUGUGCUCCUGCUGCAUGGUGGGGGUUGGAAAGCUCCGGCGGUUGUGGAUGGACUGGCGGCCUAUCAGCUUGUUGGUGGGGUAGUGGCCUACCAAGGCGGCGACGGGUAGCCGGCCUGAGAGGGUGACCGGCGACAUUGGGACUGAGAGACGGCACAGACUCCGACGGGAGGGAGAAGUGGGGAAUAUUGCACAAUGGGCGCAAGCCUGAUGCAGCAACGCCGCGUGCGGGAUGACGGUCUUCGGGUUGUAAACCGAUUUCAGCAGGGACGAAGCUUUUUGUGACGGUACCUGCAGAAGAAGCACCGGCUAACUACGUG
Molecule: ribosomal RNA, 465 nt
Filed under: uncultured bacterium
Lineage: Bacteria
Description: partial 16S ribosomal RNA
Rfam family: Bacterial small subunit ribosomal RNA
Source: RNAcentral